AGAGUUUAUCCUGGCUCAGAUUGAACGCUGGCGGCAGGCUUAACACAUGCAAGUCGAGCGGUAGCACAGGGGAGCUUGCUCCCUGGGUGACGAGCGGCGGACGGGUGAGUAAUGUCUGGGAAACUGCCUGAUGGAGGGGGAUAACUACUGGAAACGGUAGCUAAUACCGCAUAACGUCGCAAGACCAAAGAGGGGGACCUUCGGGCCUCUUGCCAUCAGAUGUGCCCAGAUGGGAUUAGCUAGUAGGUGGGGUAAUGGCUCACCUAGGCGACGAUCCCUAGCUGGUCUGAGAGGAUGACCAGCCACACUGGAACUGAGACACGGUCCAGACUCCUACGGGAGGCAGCAGUGGGGAAUAUUGCACAAUGGGCGCAAGCCUGAUGCAGCCAUGCCGCGUGUGUGAAGAAGGCCUUCGGGUUGUAAAGCACUUUCAGCGAGGAGGAAGGUGGUGAACUUAAUACGUUCAUCAAUUGACGUUACUCGCAGAAGAAGCACCGGCUAACUCCGUGCCAGCAGCCGCGGUAAUACGGAGGGUGCAAGCGUUAAUCGGAAUUACUGGGCGUAAAGCGCACGCAGGCGGUUUGUUAAGUCAGAUGUGAAAUCCCCGGGCUCAACCUGGGAACUGCAUUUGAAACUGGCAAGCUAGAGUCUCGUAGAGGGGGGUAGAAUUCCAGGUGUAGCGGUGAAAUGCGUAGAGAUCUGGAGGAAUACC
RNAcentral lists this ribosomal RNA (712 nucleotides) under uncultured bacterium. Its description in RNAcentral is "bacterial SSU rRNA". It matches the Rfam family "Bacterial small subunit ribosomal RNA", at positions 8 to 710 of the family's 1533-position model. The record is from RNAcentral.